This 495-nucleotide ribosomal RNA is filed under the name uncultured bacterium. RNAcentral describes it as "partial 16S ribosomal RNA". It matches the Rfam family "Bacterial small subunit ribosomal RNA", at positions 28 to 507 of the family's 1533-position model. The record is from RNAcentral.
GACGAACGCUGGCGGCGUGCCUAAUACAUGCAAGUAGAACGCUGAAGGAGGAGCUUGCUUCUCUGGAUGAGUUGCGAACGGGUGAGUAACGCGUAGGUAACCUGCCUGGUAGCGGGGGAUAACUAUUGGAAACGAUAGCUAAUACCGCAUAAUAGUAGAUGUUGCAUGACAUUUGCUUAAAAGGUGCAAUUGCAUCACUACCAGAUGGACCUGCGUUGUAUUAGCUAGUUGGUGGGGUAACGGCUCACCAAGGCGACGAUACAUAGCCGACCUGGGAGGGUGAUCGGCCACACUGGGACUGAGACACGGCCCAGACUCCUACGAGAGGCAGCAGUAGGGAAUCUUCGGCAAUGGACGGAAGUCUGACCGAGCAACGCCGCGGGAGUGAAGAAGGUUUUCGGAUCGUAAAGCUCUGUUGUAAGAGAAGAACGAGUGUGAGAGUGGAAAGUUCACACUGUGACGGUAUCCUACCAGAAAGGGACGGCUAACUACGUG